GCGAUUCUGCAGAUGGUAUUCAAGCUAAAAGGUUCUUAAAAUCCCUCGAUGGCAACGUCGUGCGGGUUCGAUUCCCGCCGUCCGCACCA
This 89-nucleotide transfer RNA is filed under the name Afipia sp. RNAcentral describes it as "tRNA-Leu". Lineage: Bacteria; Pseudomonadati; Pseudomonadota; Alphaproteobacteria; Hyphomicrobiales; Nitrobacteraceae. The record is from RNAcentral.